GACGAACGCUGGCGGCGUGCUUAACACAUGCAAGUCGAACGGAAAGGCCCCAGCUUGCUGGGGUACUCGAGUGGCGAACGGGUGAGUAACACGUGGGGGAAAUCCCCUUCACUGUGGGGUAAGCCUUGGGAACUGGGUCUAUUACCGGAUAUGACCGUUCGUUAGUGAGUGCUGUGGAGAGAAGUUCGGUGCUGGUUGGGCUCACAGCCUAUCCGCUGGUUGGUGGGGUAGUGGCCUACCAAGGCGGCGACGGGUGGCCGGCCUGAGAGGGUGUACGGCCACAUUGGGACUGAGAGACGGCGCAGACUCGUACGGGAGGCAGCAGUGGGGAAUAUGGCACAAUGGGCGCAAGCCUGAUGCAGCGACGCCGCGUGGGGGAUGACGGCCUUCGGGUUGUAAACCCCUGUCGGCAGGGACGAAGCUUUUGUGACGGUACCUGCAGAAGAAGCACCGGCUAACUACGUG
RNAcentral lists this ribosomal RNA (465 nucleotides) under uncultured bacterium. RNAcentral's name for it is "partial 16S ribosomal RNA". It matches the Rfam family "Bacterial small subunit ribosomal RNA", at positions 28 to 507 of the family's 1533-position model. The record is from RNAcentral.